UACGUAGGGGGCGAGCGUUGUCCGGAGUUACUGGGCGUAAAGCGCACGCAGGCGGUCUGCUAAGUUUGGAGUGACAGUUGGUGGCUUAACUGCCAAAGUGCUUCGAAAACUGACAGACUUGAGGGCUUCAGAGGGACACGGAAUUCCGGGUGGAGUGGUGAAAUGCGUAGAGAUCCGGAGGAACACCAAAGGCGAAGGCAGUGUCCUGGGAGUACCUGACGCUCAGGUGCGAAAGCCAGGGGAGCGAACGGG
Molecule: ribosomal RNA, 252 nt
Filed under: uncultured bacterium
Lineage: Bacteria
Description: partial 16S ribosomal RNA
Rfam family: Bacterial small subunit ribosomal RNA
Source: RNAcentral